Lotus japonicus is the source of this 894-nucleotide long non-coding RNA. RefSeq lists it as uncharacterized. NCBI's taxonomy places the organism in Eukaryota, Viridiplantae, Streptophyta, Magnoliopsida, Fabales, Fabaceae. The transcript is spliced from 4 exons. The record is from RefSeq and is a predicted model, not a curated record.
AACUUUCCACACAACAUAAUUAUUAUGUUCCAGAGUUUUCCUUUAUCUCUACCCACACUAUGCUGUUUCAUCUCCUUCUUUUACUCCUUACAAAAAAAAUCUCCUUAACUAUUUCCCCUUAAUUCUCCAUCUACCCUGUUUGAUAAGUGUGUGAUUCCAUUCACAUUUAAUUCCGCCGAAUAUAUGUAGAUUUUCCCCAUUCUUUCCCUCUGCAGCAGCCCAAUCAAACCCUAUAAUUUUGCCGUUUUAACUCCUUGCAGCCAUGCCUCUAUCUCUCUACCAGAGAUGAGGUUUCGGAAACAUAAACCACCAUUAAUGUGGAUAGCUCCUUUAUUCGAAUUACAGAUGGCGCCAUCCCCCACCCCACCUCUCUUCUCCUAUUUAAGGUCCAUCAGGUUAUUUGUACAGUUUGACAAGAAUUCUGCUGUUACAGAUUCCAUUCCUUAAUGUCGUUGUGGAUGGUGUUUUCCUUCUAAGUGUCGGUGUGGUGUUGUUGCUACCGUAUCGGUUUCCUGUUGACAUGGCGAGUGAAAUAAUGUUUGAUUAAGGUUCCCUAUUCUACACAUUCACAGGAAUACAUUCCUACAUUUCUAAGUUAGUAAUUGGAAUAUCUAACUCUUUUUGUGAAAGAGGAAAAGAUUACAGAUAGAGGCUCUCAAUUGGCAAGUACAAGCUGGAUCAUCUGCUAUCUGGAUUUUACUAUGGGUACAAGAUGGAUCUUCUGCUGAAAUUUUCUUGAUGGCCUCUAUUUCCUGGUGUAUAUAUGGUUAAGUAGAGAGUGAAACGAUUAGUAUUUCAUUUAUACUCAUCUUAAUUGUUUUUCCCCUUCUAUGAGUUCUAUGAGAUUGUGUAUGAUUAAUAUUAAAAUAGAAUGAUGACUUCAGUUGAGCUUCA